UAUUUCUCUUAUUACGUUCACUUCUUCCACAUUGUAUAAUGAAGGUGGAGAUAAGUGUAUGAAAAUAUUUAUUUUAAUCCUCGUGAAAUGGACGUUAUUAUUCAUACCAUGCUCCAAGUUUUUCUUCUUUCUUUUACUUAUGAAAGCAAGAGAGUCGAGAGACCGAGUAAGAAGAUGUCAGCAAUUAAGGACAAUAUCUGUGGAUAAUUGUUACGGGUCACAAAAAAAACCUAAAAAAGAAGAAAGAAAGAGAAACAAAUAUGCAUAUCCGAAGUCGAAAUCGUAAAACAAAAAUACGGAAUUUUUUAUACAGAAUAAACGUUUUCGAUUAUUAGUAUAACUUUGAUGAUCCGAAUUUAAGGGUAGGAAAGUUAUUUUUGGGUAGAAAACAGAAACAUCUUGUUUCCCUUAAGUUUGAUGAAAAGAUAAAAAAAGAAAUAGAAAAAUAAUCGAUUCAGAGGAUCGAUUCGUUGGAUAGAUUAUAAUUGAUAUUUCAAGUUAUUCAAAUAACCGAUGCAUCGUUCUACCUCGCUUCUGCUCUUCUCGUGAAACGAUACCGAUAUCUCGUUGAUAUAUUACUUGCUCGAUGAAAAACAGAAUAACAUUUAUUUAGUUUGAUUUUGCAAUACAAUAAUUAUCGACAGUGAAAAACUGAAUACAACUCUUUCGUUUUGCUAUGUCAAUCCAAAUGUGCAACCGAAAUGCGUUCCUGUCAAGUUUGAAAAUCGAAAAAAAAAUUGAAAAGUCCUGAUAGAAUUACUCCAGUUUGAGCUAAUCGUUACAUAAUUUUGAAUUUUACACCUGAUCGUCAUUUUAAAUUAUCAUUUCAUCUUAUUGUUCAUCUAUCUCGUACCACGAGAGCAAGCAGACAUUUCUCGAUUUUGUUCAACACAGAGAGAAACAGUUCGAAGCAAUGAAUGUUCGUUUAAGAGUUUAUUUACAAGUGGCAACAAAAAUACUAUCACCUCUUCCUGUAUGAUUAUAGUAUGUUAAUAUCUUCGUUAGAUAAACAGGCACGUCAGAAAGAAAUUUCGAUCGACGUAUUCAGCAUAAGAUUAUUGCUUGUUCUUUUUCUUUUCUCUUCGUUCUUUCAUUUCUUUCUUUUUAAAUAGAAACUUUGUAAAAUCAUACGCAGAACUAUAAUCUAAAGUUUGUCUCUACGAUUCGCGAGCAUUUUCACUGAACGCGAAUUGCGUCAUAAUCAAUUUCAUUGAUCGAUUCAUACAACGUGAACAAUCAAUCGACGAGAUCGAAGAAUUGGAAAGAACCAGUGAAUAUUCCUCUUUUUUAGCCAAUAGUAACCGGAUAUUAAACAAAAACAACGUGUACCAGACCAACGUGGUUCAAAAUUUUAUAAUUCAAACUCAUAUGAGCUUAUUUACGAUUGAAAAUAUGUAUAAUUUUCAACAAAUUUCUCAAACAA
Molecule: long non-coding RNA, 1423 nt
Organism: Bombus huntii
Lineage: Eukaryota; Metazoa; Arthropoda; Insecta; Hymenoptera; Apidae
Exons: 2
Source: RefSeq, a predicted model, not a curated record